Molecule: ribosomal RNA, 491 nt
Filed under: uncultured bacterium
Lineage: Bacteria
Description: bacterial SSU rRNA
Rfam family: Bacterial small subunit ribosomal RNA
Source: RNAcentral
UGACCUGGCGGCAGGCUUACACAUGCAAGUCGAACGAUGAAAUCUAGCUUGCUAGAUGGAUUAGUGGCGAACGGGUGAGUAAUGCUUAGGAAUCUGCCUAUUAGUGGGGGAUAACCAUCCGAAAGGAUGGCUAAUACCGCAUACGUCUUACGAGAGAAAGGGGGCUUUUAGCUCUCGCUAAUAGAUGAGCCUAAGUCGGAUUAGCUAGUUGGUGGGGUAAAGGCCUACCAAGGCGACGAUCUGUAGCUGGUCUGAGAGGAUGAUCAGCCACACUGGGACUGAGACACGGCCCAGACUCCUACGGGAGGCAGCAGUGGGGAAUAUUGGACAAUGGGCGAAAGCCUGAUCCAGCCAUGCCGCGUGUGGGAAGAAGGCCUUUUGGUUGUAAAGCACUUUAAGUGGGGAGGAAAAGCUUGUGGUUAAUACCCAUUAGCCCUGACGUUACCCACAGAAUAAGCACCGGCUAACUCUGUGCCAGCAGCCGCGGUAAU